AGGUCUUGCCUGCCCAGUGACAAGUUAAACGGCCGCGGUAUUUUGACCGUGCGAAGGUAGCGCAAUCACUUGUCUUUUAAAUGAAGACCUGUAUGAAUGGCGGAACGAGGGCUUAACUGUCUCCCCUUUCAAGUCAAUGAAAUUGAUCUGCCCGUGCAGAAGCGGACAUGAAAAUACAAGACGAGAAGACCCUUUGGAGCUUAAGAUACAAGACCAACUACGUCAAGGGCACACAAUAUAAACCAAACUAAGUAGUACCUGAUCAAUAUCUUCGGUUGGGGCGACCACGGGAGAAAACAAAGCUCCCAUGCGGAUUGGGGUUACACCCCUAAUACCAAGAAAGACAUUUCUAAGUCACAGAACAUCUGACCACAAAGAUCCGGCCUUUCGCCGAUCAACGGACCAAGUUACCCUAGGGAUAACAGCGCAAUCCCCUUUCAGAGUCCAUAUCGACAAGGGGGUUUACGACCUCGAUGUUGGAUCAGGACAUCCUAAUGGUGCAGCCGCUAUUAAGGGUUCGUUUGUUCAACGAUUAAAGUCCUACGUGAUCU
RNAcentral lists this ribosomal RNA (551 nucleotides) under Centrodoras hasemani. Its description in RNAcentral is "partial 16S ribosomal RNA". It matches the Rfam family "Bacterial large subunit ribosomal RNA", at positions 1850 to 2606 of the family's 2925-position model. Lineage: Eukaryota; Metazoa; Chordata; Actinopteri; Siluriformes; Doradidae. The record is from RNAcentral.